GGACUACCGGGGUAUCUAAUCCUGUUUGAUCCCCACGCUUUCGCGCCUCAGCGUCAGUUGUAUCCCAGAUGGCCGCCUUCGCCACCGGUGUUCUUCCUAAUAUCUACGUAUUUCACCACUACACUAGGAAUUCCGCCAUCCUCUAAUACACUCUAGCUCUGCAGUAUCAGAAGCAAUUCCGGAGUUAAGCUCCGGGAUUUCACCUCUGACUUGCAGAACCGCCUACGCGCCCUUUACGCCCAGUAAUUCCGAACAACGCUAGCACCCCCUGUAUUACCGCGGCUGCUGGCAC
This 292-nucleotide ribosomal RNA is filed under the name uncultured bacterium. RNAcentral describes it as "partial 16S ribosomal RNA". The record is from RNAcentral.